AACUGGGAGUGAAAGGGAAAGGGGCUGAAACAGGGAGGGUGGAGUGAAGACUUCAAGCAGCAGCAAGUUAAAUCCCUCCUAACUCCCUGCCCCAAGACUGCCCCUCCCCUACACUAACUGAAGUUAUUUCAAGCAUUAGACAGGAAAUCUCUUGGAAUAGGGGACUCGACCAGGUGAGCGUUUGGACAUUUUACAAAACCUCCAGCAGCACCAGGGAAUUAGAGAUAUAAAUUUCUAAAUCUAGUGAUAUCAGAGGUCUGAUCAAACAGGCCACCUAGAUCACCCAUAGUGAAAUCCAAGUUAACACACUCCGGCUUCCAACAAGCUUUGUAGAUUCUAAUCUCUUAGGAGAAGCAGCCAAAGAUUUCCAAACAUGUGAGGAAAACUUCUAACAGGUGAGUAAAAGGGAAGAAAAUGCCAAAAGAACAAACAAAAACUUCUGCUUUCAGAGAAAUAGUACUUUCAUAAAAUGAAAACAGGAUGUUACACGUACAGAAAAAAGAGCAUUGGGGAAAAAAGACAGUCCUUGGAAAUGAAAAACACAAUAGCAGAUGUGAAAACCUCAAUAGAAUGGGUAAAAGGUAAGGUUGCAGAAAUCUUUCCAAGUGGAGCAAAAAGACAAAGAUUUUUU
Myotis davidii is the source of this 631-nucleotide long non-coding RNA. RefSeq lists it as uncharacterized. The transcript has 2 exons. The record is from RefSeq and is a predicted model, not a curated record. NCBI's taxonomy places the organism in Eukaryota, Metazoa, Chordata, Mammalia, Chiroptera, Vespertilionidae.